UGACGAGUGGCGAACGGGUGAGUAAUAUAUCGGAACGUGCCCAGUCGUGGGGGAUAACGUAGCGAAAGUUACGCUAAUACCGCAUACGAUCUAAGGAUGAAAGCGGGGGAUCGCAAGACCUCGCGCGAUUGGAGCGGCCGAUAUCAGAUUAGGUAGUUGGUGGGGUAAAGGCUCACCAAGCCAACGAUCUGUAGCUGGUCUGAGAGGACGACCAGCCACACUGGAACUGAGACACGGUCCAGACUCCUACGGGAGGCAGCAGUGGGGAAUUUUGGACAAUGGACGCAAGUCUGAUCCAGCCAUUCCGCGUGCAGGAUGAAGGCCCUCGGGUUGUAAACUGCUUUUGUACGGAACGAAAAGGUCUCUAUUAAUACUAGGGGCUCAUGACGGUACCGUAAGAAUAAGCACCGGCUAACUACGUGCCAGCAGCCGCGGUAAUACGUAGGGUGCAAGCGUUAAUCGGAAUUACUGGGCGUAAAGCGUGCGCAGGCGGUUAUGUAAGACAGAGGUGAAAUCCCCGGGCUCAACCUGGGAACUGCCUUUGUGACUGCAUAGCUAGAGUACGGUAGAGGGGGAUGGAAUUCCGCGUGUAGCAGUGAAAUGCGUAGAUAUGCGGAGGAACACCGAUGGCGAAGCCAAUCCCCUGGACCUGUACUGACGCUCAUGCACGAAAGCGUGGGGAGCAAACAGGAUUAGAUACCCUGGUAGUCCACGCCCUAAACGAUGUCAACUGGUUGUUGGGUCUUCACUGACUCAG
Molecule: ribosomal RNA, 757 nt
Filed under: uncultured beta proteobacterium
Lineage: Bacteria; Pseudomonadati; Pseudomonadota; Betaproteobacteria
Description: bacterial SSU rRNA
Rfam family: Bacterial small subunit ribosomal RNA
Source: RNAcentral